CGCGGGAUGGAGCAGUUGGUAGCUCGUCGGGCUCAUAACCCGAAGGUCACAGGUUCAAGUCCUGUUCCCGCAACCA
Molecule: transfer RNA, 76 nt
Filed under: Pseudoselenomonas ruminantium
Lineage: Bacteria; Bacillati; Bacillota; Negativicutes; Selenomonadales; Selenomonadaceae
Also listed under: 6 other names
Description: Selenomonas ruminantium (feces metagenome) tRNA-Met
Rfam family: tRNA
About the family: Transfer RNA (tRNA) molecules are approximately 80 nucleotides in length. Their secondary structure includes four short double-helical elements and three loops (D, anti-codon, and T loops).
Source: RNAcentral